UACGGAGGGUGCAAGCGUUGUCCGGAUUUAUUGGGUUUAAAGGGUGCGUAGGCGGCUCCAUAAGUCAGCGUUGAAAUACGGCAGCUUAACUGUCGGACUGGCAUUGAUACUGUGGAGCUUGAGUAAAGUUGAGGUAGGCGGAAUUGAUGGUGUAGCGGUGAAAUGCUUAGAUAUCAUCAAGAACAUCGAUUGCGAAGGCAGCUUACUAAGUUUUAACUGACGCUGAGGCACGAAAGCGUGGGGAUCGAACAGG
RNAcentral lists this ribosomal RNA (253 nucleotides) under uncultured bacterium. RNAcentral describes it as "partial 16S ribosomal RNA". It matches the Rfam family "Bacterial small subunit ribosomal RNA", at positions 524 to 776 of the family's 1533-position model. The record is from RNAcentral.